RNAcentral lists this ribosomal RNA (253 nucleotides) under uncultured bacterium. Its description in RNAcentral is "partial 16S ribosomal RNA". It matches the Rfam family "Bacterial small subunit ribosomal RNA", at positions 524 to 776 of the family's 1533-position model. The record is from RNAcentral.
UACGAACUGUGCAAACGUUAUUCGGAUUCACUGGGCUUAAAGGGUGCGUAGGCGGCCAUGUAAGUAGGGUGUGAAAUCCCCCGGCUUAACCGGGGAACUGCGCCCUAAACUGUGUGGCUUGAGUGAGAUAGGGGUGUGUGGAGCUUCCGGUGGAGCGGUGAAAUGCGUUGAUAUCCACAGGAACUCCGGUGGCGAAGGCGGCGUGCUGGACCCCAUCUGACGCUGAGGCGCGAAAGCCAGGGGAGCAAACGGG